Molecule: long non-coding RNA, 1189 nt
Organism: Cucurbita maxima (winter squash)
Lineage: Eukaryota; Viridiplantae; Streptophyta; Magnoliopsida; Cucurbitales; Cucurbitaceae
Exons: 3
Source: RefSeq, a predicted model, not a curated record
GGGAUUUUACACGGACCAUAUAUAUUUCUCCCCCCGCAUUCACUCUCUUCUUCAGCACAUUCCGACGCUAGUAACAGAGCUCUCCAUCAACGACCUCUUCCCUUUUGAGUGUUCGUUGCCGAAAUCGCUAGAUCAUUAGCAGGCAAUCGGAGGGAGAGAGAGAGCAGAAUCGAAAGAAGUUUCUCGCCUCGUCUCGGUGAUGAAAAAUAGAGAAGAGAGCAGGACGACGAACUCUUAUGUGAUUGAGAUUUGUUCCGAUAACAGAGAGGGGAAAAACAAGGCAGUUGGUCUUGUCAUUGAGGCCGGUUGGAUUUUCGCAUCUGCUAGGAAUACUGAUCCAUGGUGUGCGGGAGGUGAUUUUAAUGUUUCUCAUUGGGUCCAGAGCGUCAUCAUACUAGAACGCAUACCAAGGGAAUGAAGAAUUUUUUAAAAAUCAUUGAGGAGACUGAUUUGAUGAAAACUUCCCUUUUGGUGUGGAAGGAAAUAGAGUGUUUUGAUGCUGAAGCUGCGAGUUAGGAUCUUUGUAAGAGCUAAACAUUCUACCCAUUGGUUUUUGGUUGGAUAACUAUUUAGUUUUUGACAGUAAAAAUUAAGCCGGUAAUACUAAGAGAGUACAGAGAAUACAGAAAGUACAAAUUCUUUAGCCAAUAUUCUCCUUACAUUUUUUCUAUCCUGUUCUUUGUAUUCAUCUGGAUCGAGUGUGUGCGUUAUUGUGCGAUCCUACAACUGGUACCAGAGCUAGGUGGAAGUCACCACGAUCUGUGAAGAUGGAAAUUCAAAGAUUGGAAUUGAGAAGUUCGAUGGAUCCAAUUUCGAUUUUUGGAAGAUGCAAAUUGAAGAUUAUCUACACCAGAAAGAUCUUCACGAAUCCCUGUUGGGGGUGAAGCCAAAUACCAUGACCAUAGAACAGUGGAAGCUCAAGACAAGCCUUAAGAUUGAUCCGGUUGACGCUAUCUAGAAACGUGGCGUUCAACAUUAUCAAGGAAAAGACAACGUUAGAUCUAUUGAAGGUGUUGUCGAAUAUGUACGAAGAACCGUCGGCUAUGAACAAGGUGUAUUUGAUGCGAAGAUUGUUCAAUCUACAAAGGUAGAUUUGUUGUUGAUCAUGUUAAUGAAUUCAAUAGGACUAUAAGUCUUCUAUAUUCUCUAUAUUUUCUCUCACUGUACAUACUUGGAGUCAUCAAUACAA